AUUGAACGCUGGCGGCAGGCCUAACACAUGCCAGUCGAGCGGAUGAAGGGAGCUUGCUCCUGGAUUCAGCGGCGGACGGGUGAGUAAUGCCUAGGAAUCUGCCUGGUAGUGGGGGAUAACGUCCGGAAACGGGCGCUAAUACCGCAUACGUCCUGAGGGAGAAAGUGGGGGAUCUUCGGACCUCACGCUAUCAGAUGAGCCUAGGUCGGAUUAGCUAGUUGGUGGGGUAAAGGCCUACCAAGGCGACGAUCCGUAACUGGUCUGAGAGGAUGAUCAGUCACACUAGAACUGAGACACGGUCCAGACUCCUACGCGAGGCAGCAGUGGGGAAUAUUGGACAAUGGGCGAAAGCCUGAUCCAGCCCUGCCGCGUGUGUGAAGAAGGUCUUCGGAUUGUAAAGCACUUUAAGUUGGGAGGAAGGGCAGUAAGUUAAUACCUUGCUGUUUUGACGUUACCAACAGAAUAAGCACCGGCUAACUUCGUG
This 484-nucleotide ribosomal RNA is filed under the name uncultured bacterium. RNAcentral describes it as "partial 16S ribosomal RNA". It matches the Rfam family "Bacterial small subunit ribosomal RNA", at positions 30 to 507 of the family's 1533-position model. The record is from RNAcentral.